UUAAGUGACGAUAGCCUAGGAGAUACACCUGUUCCCAUGCCGAACACAGCAGUUAAGCCCUAGAACGCCUGAAGUAGUUGGGGGUUGCCCCCUGUUAGAUAUGGUAGUCGCUUAGC
This 116-nucleotide ribosomal RNA is filed under the name Streptococcus sp. RNAcentral also lists the same sequence under 5 other names. Lineage: Bacteria; Bacillati; Bacillota; Bacilli; Lactobacillales; Streptococcaceae. The record is from RNAcentral.